CGGGGGGCAGCAGUGGGGAAUUUUGGACAAUGGGGGAAACCCUGAUCCAGCCAUUCCGCGUGUGCGAUGAAGGCCUUCGGGUUGUAAAGCACUUUUGGCAGGAAAGAAAUCGCACGGGUUAAUAACCCGUGUGGAUGACGGUACCUGCAGAAUAAGCACCGGCUAACUACGUGCCAGCAGCCGCGGUAAUACGUAGGGUGCAAGCGUUAAUCGGAAUUACUGGGCGUAAAGCGUGCGCAGGCGGUUCGGAAAGAAGGAUGUGAAAUCCCAGGGCUUAACCUUGGAACUGCAUUCUUAACUACCGGGCUAGAGUAUGUCAGAGGGAGGUGGAAUUCCGCGUGUAGCAGUGAAAUGCGUAGAUAUGCGGAGGAACACCGAUGGCGAAGGCAGCCUCCUGGGAUAAUACUGACGCUCAUGCACGAAAGCGUGGGGAGCAAACAGGAUUAGAUACCCGAGU
This 457-nucleotide ribosomal RNA is filed under the name uncultured Alcaligenaceae bacterium. Its description in RNAcentral is "bacterial SSU rRNA". It matches the Rfam family "Bacterial small subunit ribosomal RNA", at positions 342 to 791 of the family's 1533-position model. The record is from RNAcentral. Lineage: Bacteria; Pseudomonadati; Pseudomonadota; Betaproteobacteria; Burkholderiales; Alcaligenaceae.